RNAcentral lists this long non-coding RNA (7464 nucleotides) under Canis lupus familiaris (dog). RNAcentral describes it as "lncRNA (ENSCAFG00000050151.1)". Lineage: Eukaryota; Metazoa; Chordata; Mammalia; Carnivora; Canidae. The record is from RNAcentral.
ACCUACUAAUGCUAAUUUGGGCUAUAUAGUGGUGAUAAAGAUAGAAUUUAUCCCUGUCCUUCAGGGGGCUUAAAAUCUAAUGCUAGAAAGCAAAAAGGCAGAAAAGAAAAUAUAAUAAUAGUAACAAUAAUAUAAGAAGGAAAAAGAAGGAAAGAAAAAGAAAAACUAAUGUAGAGAAAUGAACACAUAUGCUAUCAUUAGGAGGAAAGGAUCUCCCAUUGUGGACCUGACUCCCGGCCUCUGGUGUAUUCUCUGGUGCCCAUUAUAAUUGGAAACAUGUUCCUCCAGUGUUUCUCUGAUGCAAUAUUUUCUGUUAAAUCCUUAUGUGGUUUUAGCCCUUUAUCAAUCUUCUCUUUCUCUCCAUACUUGAGAGAAGGCUAAUGUUUGCCCAGCUCUGCCUGAAAGUGGGUAAGAAUUUUGAAGUAGGGAGAAAUAUGGAGGAAAUACUUUUAAAAGAUGAUGGAUAUUAAGGAAGUCCAUCUAAAACAACUUUAUCAUUUGUGUGGAAUUCAGAGGAGCCAGAAGAUUGGAAUGAAUGCUUGCUCUGAAACUCCAAGAGAAAUGGAUCAAUGUGUAUAAGGAGUAUAAAUGAUGAGCAUUUUCAUUUUGGUAAUGCAUGUUGCUUUAAUGCACUUUCUUUAACAGAUAUUAUCUGCAAAAUAAAACAUAUGACAAGUCAUUUGAAAACUUUCUACAGAAUUUUUUUUGUGGAAAGAUAAGACAACCCAUCUUUGACUGAACAACUUAUUUCUUUGGCUGGAAAUAGUUUAUACAGACAAUAUUCAUGUAUAAGAUAUUAAAAUGGUCUUUAUAAAUAAAAAUAAUGCUACUGAUUUGACCAUGGAUUACUCUUUGUGGUGGUGGCAUAUCUGUGCCAUGAUCAAGUCCGUCUUUCAUCCAAUUUUCCUCCUAAUUAAAAACACACACCUAAGACAUGGCUGUCUGAGAUUAAAUAAAAAGAUCCUAUGGUGAUACACAAAAUCAUAUUGCUUAAAGAAGCAUUAAACCAUUAUUCUUGUCUCAAUGUAUUCUGACCAAGUAAGCAACUGGGCCUAGAGAUGAAGUCCCAUGAAAACUGUUGAAGUGUUUCAUGCAAUGAAUGAAUGCUAGCUAGAUAAAAAUCUUAAUGAAAGGACAUCUCAUUUCACUAAAAUAUGGCUUUUGAAAUGUUGGAUGAAGCAAUUGCUAAAGGCUUAUCCAAGAAAAAAAAAUAAAACCUUAUCAUAAGAUUAAAGAUUUCACAAAACCUAGAAAAAUUAGGAUGUGAUAACUAGGGGGAAGAUAAAUUUCCUUUAACUGAUAAAUAGGAAAGUGAUGAUAAAUUAAAUGUUCUGAACUCCAUGCCAGCAGGUAAAACAGAAAAAUACCAUCUAAUGAGAAGUCAUAAUGAGAAGUCAAUUACCUCAACACUGGUGUCAACUAAUGAGAUAGUUCAGAUGCUAAUAGAAAGAAUUGCCUACUUUUCCUCUCGCAUUUUCCAUGCAAUGAGACUCAGGGCAUAAAUGGAAAACUGCAUCUUCUUAGAAUUCAUGAUAUUUGAAAGAAAAGACUUCAAAAUUUACCAAAGUAGUAAUCUUUAUUAGAUAAGAGAAUAAGUGGGAUGCCUGGGUGGCUCAACGGUUGAGUGCCUGCCCUCAGCUCAGGGCAUGAUUCUGGAGUCCCGAUAUCGAGUCCCACAUUGGGCUCCCUGCAGGGAGCCUGCUUCUCCCUCUGCCUGUGUCUCUGUCUCUCUCUGUGUGCCUCUCAUGAAUAAAUAAUAAAAUCUUUAAAAAAAAGAUAAGAGAGUAAAAUUCAUUGUAAAGCGGGAAAGAUACUCCUGAAUCCUUUCCUAUUUAUCCCCUACACAUUUACUCUAUGCAUUUCAUCUACACUCAUAGCCUCAUCCACACACCCUUCUAUCCAUUCAUCUAUUCAUCUUUCCAUUUAUCCAUCCAUCUGUCCAUCCAUCCAUCUAUCCAUCCAUUCACAUAUGUUUAUAGUCUAUAAAUUGUACUUGCCUCUCAUGACAGGUAGGGGGUUUAGAGGCUAGAAAAAAUGUGUAGAUCACUUCUGCUGAGGCAGAAUUUCCAUUCCAAUAGGGAAGAAAGCAUUAAACACAAAUUGCUCAACACACCUCAGUAAGUGGUACGGUAUAAAAAAAUAAAGGAAACUUGUUCUAAUGUGAGGUCAUAGAAGACUUCUCUGAUAAAAAAUGUUUCAGCUGAGUAUUUGUAGAAUGAACUGGAAUGGACUAUGUGAAAGUUACAUAUGCAUGUGUUAGUGUACACAUGCAGAUGUACACAUAUAUGUGUGGGCACACAGGAGAUUUAUGUGUACAUGAAUCUAUGUGCAUGUACAUAUACUUGUAUAUGUGCACAUGUGUGCAUGUGUACAAUGAUGGUGUACAUGCAUGUAUUCACCUGUAUGUGCAUAUAUAUUUGCAUAUAUAUUUGCAUGUUUGUGCUGGUGCUUGAAUGUAUUUGUGUACAGAUAUGCAUGUAUAUUGGUGGGGCUGCUUUCUGAGUUGAGGUAACAGAGUGGAAAAGGAACUUCACAUAUGUCUCUGAGAACUGAAAUACAGAGCCUAAGCCUGAGGGAUAAGGUUGGAGACAUGCAGAAAAACCAGAUCACAGUGAUGUGCCAUCAUAUUAAGGAUAUGUCUCUUUUCCUAAGAGCUGUAUGUAAUUGCUUAUGUGACUCGUGCAGUGAAAUGACAGAAAUGAGAUGUAUGUUUCAGGAAAGUGUACUCUGGUUGUACGUACUACCGUAUCAACAACUCAGAAAUGGAUCUCUGGCCCCACUUUUCCUCCUAGACUCCAGGCCAAUAUUUACAGUUGUCUGCUAGACAUCUUCUACUAGACACUUAAAACUCAAAGCAGCUAAAAACAAAUUUGUUAUAUUAUUUCCACAAUACACUGUUGCUCUUUCUAAUACACAUUGGGGAAUGGCACCCUCCCCAAACCAUUACUUCAACCAGGAACUUUAGAGUCAAUACUCUUCCUUUUCAUUCUCUUCAACCACUGACAGAUAAACUGGUCAUCAAACUGGGGCAAGUGUGUCCCCUUUUUUUCCACUAGAAUUCCUCUUUUUUAGGAAUCCUAUACCAACUCUUCCUUAUACCAACUCCUUCUUCUACUGCCAUAGCCAUGGUGCAUCUGGUCUCUGAAGUCCAAUGAACCCUUUACCUAGCCAUUAUACCUGCCACUCUCUUUCUUAAGAGCUCCCAAGUAUUUACUAUUUCUCUUUGUAGCACAGUGUAGUGAGAAGAAUAGGGACUUGGAGUUUAGGUCUGGGUUGAAUUAUGACCUCAAACAACUACCAUCUGAAUUUGUUGAACAAGUUACCUGUGUCUGUUAAUUUUCCGGUUUAUUACUAUAAUGAAUGCAUGUAUGUAAUGUGGGUAGUUACCCAAUCUGAUGAGAUGAUGUAUUAAAAACAAUUAGCAUAGGACCUAGAUCAUAGUAAGUACUCCCCAAGUUUUUACAUCCUGGCUUUAACCCACUUUUUCCUCAUCUGCUACUAUUGUUUUCACCUACCCUACAACCUAAUUAUGCAUACACUCCCCCAUUUUCUGACUUCCCAUGUAAUGUCCCAUAAUAUUUCCAUGUCCUCCAAUGCCCUUUCCUAAUCUGUCUGACAAAAAUCCUGCUCCUCUUUGAGGAUGCAGUUCAAAAAGUAUUUUUAAGUAAAGACUUUGAUCGCCCACCACCUUUUGUAUUCCUUACAAAAAUCACUCACACCUUCUCUGAGUUCCUAUAACACUUUAUGUAAUCCUUCAUGUCCCUCUAAAUUGUUAGCUCAUUGGAGUUCAAAAGUAUCUUUCCUCAUUGUCUUCUACUCAGUAAAUAUUUGCUGGGAAAACAAUGGCAAGUUUAAGUUGAAAGAGAUACUCUAUGGGAAGAGCCAUCCCAGAAUGAACAGAAUCAGGGGACCAGGAGGCUUGACUUUGAGAACUGUUAAGCCCCUCUUGCUUCUUAUAUCUUCCCCCCAAAACCUGUCUCCUGAAAAUGUAUUUAUAACUGUGAGAUAUCAAGAAAAAUACUAAAUUGUACUUGUAUUUUCUUUAUUCUUUCCAACCCCAGGAAGUAUGGUAAGCAUUGUGUUUUCAAACACGAUUAUGCUCAAUAAUCCCAGGGAAAGGGAGAUACAGAAGAAUUUGGUUGAGGAAUGUAAGGGAAGGGAAAGAAAAGGACUCUGUCAUUUUCUUAAAAUUGCCAUAACAAAUUGGGUGGCAUAAAAUAACAGAAGUUUAUUUUUUGACUAUUCUGGAGACCAGAAGUCUGAAAUCAAGAUAUCUGCAGGGCCAUGUUGUCUGUGAAAGCUCUAGGGCAGAAUCUGUUCCCUGUUUCUCUCCUAGCUCCUGGUGUUGCUGGCAAUCCUGGGUGUUAGUUGGCUUAUAGACACAUCACUCCAAUCUCUGCCUCAGCUAUCACAUGAUAUUUUUCCUGUGUGUGCUGUGUCUUCUCAUAGCAUUUUCUUCUCUUUGUGUCUGUCUCUGUUUCUUUUCCUCUUCUUAUGAGGACACCAACCAUAUUGGAUUAGAGACCAACCCUACUCCAGAAUGAACCCACCCUAAUCACCUCCACAAAAGCCUUAUUUCUAAACAAGGUGACAUUUAUAGGGUUAGGACUUCAACCUAUAUUUUUUGUAUCUAGGAUCUAGGUGGCAGAGACCAGUGUUCUGCUUCCAUGAAGCACCUAGGAUAGAGAUGUUUACUGGAAGCUGGCUGGUGGUCAGUGGGAGCACAUCAUUGGCACCCAGAGCCAAAAAAGCAAAACAAAACAAAACAAAACAAAAAAACAAAAAAAAAUGACAAUAAAGAUGACCCCACCAUGAACUAAGAACUAUUUUCUUCUUCAAGCUUUUCUGUCAUCAUUAGCUAGAGAACCAUGUAUGACUCCAUUAUAAGAAAAGCAAAUCCUUGAAUUUCCUGCCAGUUCAGAAAAUGGGGGACUCUGGAAUGAUUUAAGGUUGGAUUAGAAAAAUAAAGACAAGCAGUAAUACGUACAUAUAAAUGGUCUGGCUAAACCUCAGACUCAUUUCACAAGUAUGACAGUAUGACACUCACUCUCUACAGAGUGAGGACAUUGAAAACACCUCCCUUGAAUCCUCCUCCAACUAUCUAAGAUGGCUACUGCUAGGCUGUUGGUCAUAUGCCAAGAACAAGAUAGAGGAAACAGCUGAUUUUUCCAGCAUAUGGAUUUUAGAGAGUUGGAAGUUAUCUUCUACCUGUGUAUUAAGUUUGCUCUGGGUCCAUUUUAUCUGCCCCUUAGGAAACAAGUGUAAUGAUAAGAAAGGUAAUUAAUUAUGAGCUGCUGGGGAUGUUUUAUCAGUAGAGCUGCUGUUUCAACAUUCACAUGAAUCCACUGGAUCUACCUAUUUCUCUGCAGUUUGGGACCACAUAGAAUCCUCCCUGGGAGCAACAACAAACAUGUAGGCUAUGAGCCCAGAUAUUGAAACAUGAUAUGAUUUAACAGAGAUCUCUGCCUACACCUAAAGGUGAGGGUUUCUUGCCCCCAUUUUGGGGUGUUGAGUUCUGUGACAGGGUAUUUCAUGCCUUGUUUGUCAUCUAAGUGACAAUACUGUCAUCAAAACCCAGGGAGUGACCUAGUCAUUCUGGCAGCCUAAAGUGAAUGCAACUCACAGAUCAGCAGCUUUGCAGACCAAGAAAUAGCCCUUUCAUAGAAGUUUGCUCAGAAAUAUGAGGUUUCUGUUAAGUUCUUGAUAGAAAGCUGAUCUUUAAUAAACCACUCAUUUCUAAGAUCCAAGAUCGAAUCACACAACCUAGAAAUCAAAGCAACAUCUUAGUAUCUUAGAUUAUUUGAUAAAGGUCACGCUGAACCAAUAAGAAAAAGCAAGACACUGGAUCCUAUUCUUAAGAAGAUUGAAAGAGAGACUAAACAUAAACAUAAGAAAGUACAAAUCUCUUUCCUAUUCAUGAAAAUUCUACACUAGUUUUUAUCUGAAAUUGAGUGGAAGAGAGGGAUGAUUUGGGGCUUUCAAAAUAACUCCUCUUACUGUCUCAAUAUCAACAUUCAAUUUUGAAAAUACCUCUUCUAGAUGUGAUUAUGUUUAGGUUUCUUCUUGUGCCUCUCAUUCCCUCAGAUACCUAUGGUUGCUAAAACAGAUUCAGUGGUCUGUUUCUAUGAAAAGGCUCUCCUUUAUUGUGAUUGACAGAGAAUAUUCUGUGAGCACGGGAGUAAAAUGCAAAACUAAACUACCUACAGGGAAGAAAAUACCGGGAUAUUUUCUUUGAGGGCAAAAAGACUGGUUUCCCCCUUCCCCUCACAUGACCAUUCACAUAUUUCAUUCAUGCUUAGACACAUUUUGUCUGGAAAAAAUUUGUCUUCUGUUUUGGUUAUUCCAAACAGAGCUGUUUUUUAGGCUUCCAUCAGCAGCCAAGACCAAAAAGAUUCUUAGUACAAAAAUAUCAGUAACAGCUAAGCCUUGGCAGGUUAGAAGAAAUUAGAGAAAGACUUGGCAAAGGCGUGGGAUAAAAUAAAAGAUAAACAUUUAUAGUUUUGCAGCAAACAGAAACCAAUAUGCAAUAUUUUUAUUUUAUGCAAGCUAAACUAAUAUUUUUUCCAAAUUCAUUUGAAAAUCUACAAGGUGUGAGAAGUACAGAAAAAGUAAUUGUACCUUAUAAUAUUCUUAUUUUCUAAUAUCUCAUAAGACUUAAACAAAAUUAAACAUAAAAAAGUUUCCAUAUAAAUUGGAAAUUUUCUAUGAUUUUAAAUAAAUAUGACAUUUUCUCCACCUAAGAAAACUUGAAAAAAAUAAUUUUAGCUUUUCCAUAACGUUUUAAAAAUAGACUCCCUCCUAUAAACCUGAAUUUAACAUAUAUUUUAGUUUGCCUUGUAUGAUAUACCUGUUGAUUUGGUAGAAUCAUUCAUAUAACCCCCUUUGAUUUUCAAAAGUGUCCUGAUUUAAACUAUAAAUCAUAUAGUCACUCUGUUUACAGAUGACUCUCCUUGGACACCCUCUGCUUAUGUUUUCCCCCAGCACUCUUCCAUAAUCUUUUACACCCUCCCCUCUGCAUAUAGUGAGAUAAUUGGGGUCCAAGGUGGAUUCUAACUAAUAAAUAAUAUAGUUACUUGAAAAUAUCUCAAACUAGGGAUGCCUGGAUGGCUCAGUGGUUAAGCUUCUGCCUUCAGCUUGGGGCAUGGUUGGGGGUCCUGGGAUUGAGUCCCACAUCAGGCUCCCUGAAGGGAAUCUGCUUCUCCCUCUGCCUAUGUCUCUGCCUUUCUCUCUAUGUGUCUCUCAUAAAUAAAUAAAUAAAAUCUUAAAAAUAAGAAAAUAUCUCAAACUAAAUGGAAAACUGUUUAGACCCUUGCAAAUAGCAUACAAAAUACCUAUAAAUACAUUUAUGAUUGUUCCUGUGGCAAAGACUAUGGUGUGGCUUCCUACUCCAUAACUGCUCUUCUCUAACUAUUAACUAGCUGAAUUCUGGUUUUGUUCAGGAAUUGGGUAACACUGUACUCAGGA